AAGGAGCGACCACAGGGGAGCUGUGGUUCCCAGGCCUCAGAGGUGAAAGAGACAGUGCCUUGCAAAUGCAGCAUCCCGUGAGUGCAGGGGAGUUUCUGCGCUCUGGGUGGAGCAGAACAGGAAAGUUCAUAAAUUCAGCACGUCAGAGCAGCCUGUCUCCCCUAUUUACUCUGCGAGUCCUUGACAUCGCGAGCGCUCGCUACUUUACUUUGUCUUAAUGCUGACGUGUAAACCUCUGAACAGUGACUUUCCAGCCACUAGCCUACAGGCUGUAAGGUACUUCUGCGCCUAUUUUUAGCCUCUUUUCCUGGAAGAAAAAAGAAAAUAACAAUGUCUCGUUCCGAGGAUCCUUCUCCUGCAUGCCCAGGAUCCAGGAGGCAACAGUAACAUCCCUAAGGAGCCAGUCUCAGAAGCAGGUGCGGGGCGCCCUCUCUCUGUUAUCAGAGAGGGUGCUGGAAAGCAGCUGGGCCUCAGCAGGGCACGCAGCGGGGCACUGGGCAGGAUCGCUCAGAGGAAUUCACUAAGAUACAGGCAAGCUACUGAGGCAAACGCAGAUGUUCGCCAAGCAUCUGGACCUUCUAAAAAUGAAGUGCCAUCUCCCCAGCAGCAAAGCAGACCGAAGUUAAUGAUGAUUAACAAUGGGAAAGGUUUGGCCAACUUGUUUUCAGAAAGACACGUCCUGUGACAAGUGUGCAGAUGACACCUAUGGCUCUGAUUUCGACGAAAACUGGCCCCAUCUUCCUGGAGACUAUUAGCCCGUAUCCUACCGGAUAGUGUGCACCUAAAGUUCUCAAGAGCUCCCCUCACCCUUGGAAGCACCAAUAUACAGAGGGCUGGAUAUCCCAGAGAAAUAAACCCAGAUGAAAGUCU
RNAcentral lists this long non-coding RNA (870 nucleotides) under Mus pahari (shrew mouse). Its description in RNAcentral is "lncRNA (MGP_PahariEiJ_G0005208.1)". Lineage: Eukaryota; Metazoa; Chordata; Mammalia; Rodentia; Muridae. The record is from RNAcentral.